This is a long non-coding RNA of Carlito syrichta (Philippine tarsier), 520 nucleotides long. RefSeq lists it as uncharacterized. The record is from RefSeq and is a predicted model, not a curated record. The transcript has 2 exons. NCBI's taxonomy places the organism in Eukaryota, Metazoa, Chordata, Mammalia, Primates, Tarsiidae.
CAAGCAGUCCUGCCUCAGUCUCCCAAAGUGCUAGGAUUACAGGCUUUUGUCUUCCAAGAAAGCCACGCAGGAGCUGGCGAAGAUGCUCAACUCAGCAGUAUUCUCAGAAAUGGGUUUCCGGUUAAUGUAUUCCUUCCUGAGGCUGCAAGAGAAAGAUGGCGCUUGGUCUUGCCGAGAUGCCGUGGUCCACUUUUCUUGUAUUCAUGGUAUUAUGAACAAUAAUACAGUAACACUUCUCACGUGUUAGCAUAUUCCAUAUGAUGUUCAGUUUCCUGCCGGGUCUUAAUUCUGCUGUGCGUAGGCAGAACUCAAGAGAAAUGUGAGGUUCGCAAAAUACAAACUAUGAAAGUACCAGGGAGACCCUUCCAGGACUCUUGCUUGGGUAUCAUCCAUGUCCCUGUUAACUUUGCUGGAUGGUGGUCAGAAGUGUAGGUGUUUUGAUGUGAUAAAAGGAAAACCUUUGAGGUGGAGACUAGAAGACUCUCUUGUUACUGGAAAAUAUCUAUUUUACUACUGAGUA